Molecule: ribosomal RNA, 427 nt
Filed under: uncultured bacterium
Lineage: Bacteria
Description: bacterial SSU rRNA
Rfam family: Bacterial small subunit ribosomal RNA
Source: RNAcentral
UGGGGAAUUUUGGACAAUGGGGGCAACCCUGAUCCAGCCAUUCCGCGUGAGUGAAGAAGGCCUUCGGGUUGUAAAGCUCUUUCGGCAGGAACGAAACGGCGGGCUCUAACAUAGCCUGUUAAUGACGGUACCUGAAGAAGAAGCACCGGCUAACUACGUGCCAGCAGCCGCGGUAAUACGUAGGGUGCGAGCGUUAAUCGGAAUUACUGGGCGUAAAGCGUGCGCAGGCGGAUUGUUAAGCAAGACGUGAAAUCCCCGGGCUUAACCUGGGAAUGGCGUUUUGAACUGGCAGUCUAGAGUGCGUCAGAGGGGGGUGGAAUUCCACGUGUAGCAGUGAAAUGCGUAGAGAUGUGGAGGAACACCGAUGGCGAAGGCAGCCCCCUGGGAUGACACUGACGCUCAUGUACGAAAGCGUGGGUAGCAAACA